UUAACAUUUUUCAAAAUGUUAUAACUGUAGAUAAGAGCACAUCAACCUACAAUGCACACUGUAGCUUGAAGACUUUGUUCCACUGACUCCCUGUUCCCCCGCUAUCUCUUCAAAACUCUCACGCUUCCUAAUGAAUCCAUCGGUUCAAAACAGCACAACUUCUCUUCCUCCUUCUCUCUAACCUUAGAAGCAACCAUUCACAACCACCACCACCCUCUACUGCUACCGUCGGCUUCUCUUUCAUCAACCACGUAACAGAGAUCGAAGCAACCAAAAAUCGUUUGUUCUUGUUCAACCAUCCGUUAUUGCUUUUUAUCUCUACAGUUUUAAAAACAUAUUUCGUUCUGGAUAAAGAUGAACAAGUUCGGGAAAAAGGGUUUUUUACUAUUGGCCUUGCUACUGGUUGUUUGGAAACCAAGGGUUUGUUUCUUUUUUUUUGGUUGUUUUUUCUACAAGCUUUCCAAAGAGGUAGUUCCAAGCCCUUACCAAGGUCUCUCUCUCAUGUGUGUUUUGAUUUUGUGGUUCAUCUCUUAUAUUUCAGGUUUUUCUCAAAUUUGGGCUUACCAAAUGAAAUGCCUAAGAGAAAAUUAUAACAAGAAGCGUAUUUUGAUUCCUUUCAAACACUUCAAGUAACUAUAAGCUUAAUUGUCAAUCUGUUAUUAGAUCUCAAGAAAAUCACUCAUGUUACCCUCCAUGCUCUGCCUUUUUCCCGGUUUUGUGCUCUAUGACUCCACUUCUAUGUGGUUUGAAGGAAAGAAGAUACGAGAGAAACGACAAGGAGAACUUCAAGAGAGGAUGAAAGCCUUUGUGAAAAUCUAGAUGAUGGAUUCGAUCUACGACUCUCAAUGGAGCAACUUGCAGAGUGAAACCCUUCCAAGACGACCAAUUUGAUGGAACUGUAUAGUCUGGAUGUUUUUUUCUUCUCUUCUUUACACCUUUUUUUAUGUUUUAUUUUAUUUUAUUUUCGAGCCCUAAUAUAUAAUCUUCAGAACCACUUUAUAUUUGAUGAAGACGAUGAUGGGAGAUAGGGAUGGAAAGAUUAGAAACAUCUUCCACAAUUUAAGGAGAGGAGGUCAUAGUAAUGAAUCUAUAUCAGACAAUAAAUGUCCACCAAUGUUAAAAAGCUCAUGACAAGUGAGCUUUCCAUGAAUGUAAUCGAUGUUUACCCUCAAAACCAUUUUCUUUUAAAGCUCAAAUUUGGGAAUUGAUGGGAACCGAGACCGUUAAUGUCACUGAUGUUGGUUACUUGGUUCAAAAUUUGUAUUUAUAGUCAAGUUUCAUAAGAUAUGUGCAUUGUCCCAUGCUUAUCAUAUCUAAUUUGAACCGUUACAUAAUAUAUGAAAUAAUGGUGCAGAAACAUUGGUUUAUUUGCUUAAUUUGAAAGGAUACUUGAUGUCA
Molecule: non-coding RNA, 1398 nt
Organism: Lactuca sativa (garden lettuce)
Lineage: Eukaryota; Viridiplantae; Streptophyta; Magnoliopsida; Asterales; Asteraceae
Source: RefSeq, a predicted model, not a curated record